Molecule: transfer RNA, 64 nt
Filed under: bovine gut metagenome
Rfam family: tRNA
About the family: Transfer RNA (tRNA) molecules are approximately 80 nucleotides in length.
Source: RNAcentral
GCUUAUAGCUCAGUUGGUAGAGCAGUUGACUCUUAAUCAAUUGGUCCGGGGUUCGAGCCCCCGU